Long non-coding RNA from Orcinus orca (killer whale), 1924 nucleotides. RefSeq lists it as uncharacterized. The transcript has 2 exons. Lineage: Eukaryota; Metazoa; Chordata; Mammalia; Artiodactyla; Delphinidae. The record is from RefSeq and is a predicted model, not a curated record.
GUCUCUGCAGCAGGAGGAGGACGAGGCCAGGAGCCCUGACGGUGCAGACACACAUAAGACCCCAGGGGGGGACGUGGCAACUUCCUGUUCGUGAGUCACCCUUGUCACAGUAGUCAGUCACUGGGCUCAGGACCCAGGAAAGGGCUUCUUGGGCCUGAACAUUCCAUCACGGGGUUAUCCUGGGGAGGGCAGGGGGGGCAAUCUCUCGAACAGAUGAAUGUUCUCAAUGACUGAACCUUACCUCUUUAACCAGGUAAUUUCAAUAAGGAGCUGGUUUGGAAGAGAAAAGAGCUCCGGGUGAAGAAGCGGAUGGCUCUGGGGUGUGUUCUAGAGAAUUUCUGGAUUUUAACCCCAGGGGGCUUCCCCACGAGUGCUCAAUGCUCCCUGCCCCACACCACCUGCAGCUGCAUUCAGGACCUUUUUUCUCCCCCCAAGGGAGAGCAGCACAUCGUCGUAACCAGUGCCGGGCACUUUCCUCACCAUCUCAGUCCUGGCCAGCCCUCAUCUUGGAACUGGGAAGGAUUCUGUCCAAAGCAAGAAUGGGUCAUGAAAGGGAUCUCCAGUCCCCAUCACUGAAUGGGCCCCAGGGACCGGCCCCACCUGGUUACAUACAGCGCCUUUGGGCUUAUCACGGGCAGGGUGACUCCAGGUCCUUUGCUAUGAGGUCACUUAAACUUCUCUGCAGGAUUGGCUGCCCCAGCGAUUAUCCUUUGGAGAGGAGAGAAUCAACAGAACGGGAGAUGACGGCCUCAGAAUUGCACCUGUCACAGAGCUGCUGGCAUCCACGUCCCCUGGGGUGCCCCUCAGGAUGCAGAUUCCUGGGGCUGACACAUCUCCUCUGCACAGAAGGAGUUGAGGGCGAGCCUCCUUAACAUGCCGGUAAACCAGCACCCCAUUGCUUGGCGGAGGGAGCGCAAGGCAGCUCCUCUCAGGGCUCCACUCCUGCACUGCUGCUUCUGCUGGGAAUGGCUCUACACCGGGAGGCACCUUUGAUCAUUGAUAUCUCGCUGGAUGGCUGGCCCCGGGUGAGGGGGUGAGCAGGAGGGAGGAGAAAAUAGAUGAGAAUGGAUGCGUUUCUCCCCGAGUUACACACACGAUUCUUUUUUUGUUUCUCUUUGCGUUUCCACACGACAAAUUCGUCUCCUUGUUUUUCUUUCCAAAAUAUCCCCUCCUACCCAUGUCCUCACUGCCUCUGGCCUGGACCAGGCCCAGGCCCUGACCCUCAGCAGCUGUCUGUCCCCUGAGACCUGCCACGUCCCCAGGCCAGGACAGAGCCCGUGGAGAAAAGACAGGAAAAAUGGCGAUCAUUGGGAGUGGAGUGGGGGGGGGCGUCCUUAAACCGAUGGCUUGAGUAAUUGGAGUGGAUGCGCAUCGUGUCCUGGGAGGAAGAUUCUGUGAAUCUGUGUGGUCUGAGUGGACAAGUUCAUGCCGCUGACUUCGGGCUGAUCUUGGCUCUGCCCGGAGGCGACUUGGCUCUGAUAAGCCGACCUCUAGCUGAGCCUUUUGGUUUCUGAGAAGUGGAGGAAUCACUGGGAGUCAACCCGAUCUUCCAAGAUAAAGGGCCAACCUUAGAUGGAUCUAUUAUUUCCUUGAGAUCUUGGAACAGUGCUUUUAUUUGUCCAAUGACGUUUAUCUAUUAAACAUCUGUGAAACCCUGGGUGGUUACAGACGCGGCAGUAGGUGGUCACGGAUUGGAGAGAGUGAAUGAUGACUCAUCGAAGGCGUCCUUUAUCAUUCUUCAGGGGAUUAAAGACAUGACUCAAAAUUGUUCAAAUGAAAUGCAACCAAUUUAUAUCUGCCGUUAAUACGUAACUGACUAGAUAAAACAAUAGUUAUUCAUUACUCACCAGAAAUCUGGUUUGCAUAAGUCCGUUUUUUAUUUAAAUCAAACUUUCCCAUCUCUAUAAAAGCAUUUUUUCAUGGA